AGACCAUGCAUCUAGUCUGACGGAGCAUGCCGCGUGAGGGAUGAAGGCCUGUGGGUUGUAAACCUCUUUUCUCAAGGAAGAAGAUCUGACGGUACUUGAUGAAUAAGCCACGGCUAAUUCCGUGCCAGCAGCCGCGGUAAUACGGGAGAGGCAAGCGUUAUCCGGAAUUAUUGGGCGUAAAGCGUCCGCAGGCGGUCCUUCAAGUCUGCUGUUAAAAAGUGGAGCUUAACUCCAUCAUGGCAGUGGAAACUGUUGGGCUUGAGUGUGGUAGGGGCAGAGGGAAUUCCCGGUGUAGCGGUGAAAUGCGUAGAUAUCGGGAAGAACACCAGUGGCGAAGGCGCUCUGCUGGGCCAUCACUGACGCUCAUGGACGAAAGCCAGGGGAGCGAAAGGGAUUAGAUACCCCUGUAGUCAAA
RNAcentral lists this ribosomal RNA (415 nucleotides) under uncultured bacterium. RNAcentral describes it as "bacterial SSU rRNA". It matches the Rfam family "Bacterial small subunit ribosomal RNA", at positions 368 to 798 of the family's 1533-position model. The record is from RNAcentral.